AAGCAUAAAACAAAAGAAAAAGAUUUGGCGUGUUUUUGUUUCGAUAGCCCUCAUUAAGAUCCUGUUUGACAGGAACAACAAAGCACACACUCACACUCACACCGCUGAUUCAUAAAAAACCUAGAGUUCAAAAAAAAUCAAAUCAAAUCAAAUCAGAAUGUUAGCAAUCAAGAGCAAUUGUUGUUCUUGGUUUAUUAUUUUUGUUUUUCGAUUAUUAAUAUUCAAACAAUUCAAGAGCAAUCUUGAAUCUUUUCAAAUCCUUAUAGAUUUUUUUUAUUUUUAUCAAGAUAGAUUCAAAAUUUGUUCAAGAUCGAAUCCUUAUGCCUUCUCAUUACGGCUUUUUGGUUCAAGAGAGAGAGGUAUAAAGAUAGAGUCCAAAUUGAUUCUUUGGCGAAACCCUAAUUUCUUUUUCUUCUUCUUCUUCUUCCUCUCUAGCGGGUUCUGCGAUUUUUAGGGUUUGUGAAGCAAUGAGAAAAGUUUCGAUCUUUGAUUGGUUUUCGUCGAUGGAGGGCGAGGCCGGUUCGGAGGGAGACAAUAAGCGGAAAAGGGGUGGCGCAGAUGAUAACAGCAACGACAAUAAUGGAAGCAAUAGCAAGAUUGCGAAUUCCAAUGAGGGGCAGAGCAAGCCCAAGCGCCAGAUGAAGACCCCCUUUCAGCUUCAAAAUCUCGAGAAAGCUUAUGCUUUGGAUACUUAUCCUUCGGAGGCGAUGAGAUUAGAGUUGUCGGAAAAGUUGGGGUUGUCGGAUUGGCAACUGCAGAUGUGGUUCUGUCAUAGGAGGUUGAAGGAGUUUCCUCCCAAGAAACGGCUGCGGAAGGUGGCAGCAGAACCUUUGCCAGAUUCCCCCACAGAUGACAUGAGGUUGGACCCUGAAAUUGGCAAUGAGUAUGGAUCCGGGUCGGGUUCGGAGGGAGACAAUAAGCGGAAAAGGGGUGGCGCAGAUGAUAACAGCAACGACAAUAAUGGAAGCAAUAGCAAGAUUGCGAAUUCCAAUGCGGGGCAGAGCAAGCCCAAGCGCCAGAUGAAGACCCCCUUUCAGCUUCAAAAUCUCGAGAAAGCUUAUGCUUUGGAUAUUUAUCCUUCGGAGGCGAUGAGAUUAGAGUUGUCGGAAAAGUUGGGGUUGUCGGAUUGGCAACUGCAGAUGUGGUUGAAGGAGUUGCCUCUCAAGAAACGGCUGCGGAAGGUGGCAGCAGAGCCUUUGCCAGAUUCCCCCACAGAUGACAUGAGGUUGGACCCUGAACUUGGCAAUGAGUAUGGAUCCGGGUCGGGUUCGGGGUCCAGCGCGCUUACCCGUUCUGAGUCCCGGAAUGCGAUGCCCCAGGGCUUGCCGGGUUAUUAUGAGUCCCCUCAGGCUGGAAUGGAGCGUAGAGCAAUUGCUUCUGUGGAGGCACAGUUAGGGGAGCCGUUGAGGGAAGAUGGACCCAUUCUAGGAGUAGAGUUUGACCCAUUGCCACCAGAUGCAUUUGGGGCACCCGUAGAGUGAAGAGAGAAUGAAGAAAGAGAUGGAGAGACAAGAUCGUGAAAGGAGGAAGGAAGAAGAGAGGUUGAUGCGUGAGAGACAACGUGAAGAGGAAAGAACAAAAUGUGAGCAAAAACUUGAAAUUGAACGAAGGGAAAAGCAUUUGCUGAAGGAAAAUUUAAGAGUAAAUUUGUAAGCCUAAUGAUGAUAGCCUUCUUUUGGCUAAUAUUUAGACAUCUGAUGAUUUUUUUUUUCUUUUGGUAUAUUGAGGAUAUUUAAUGUAUUUGCCACAUAUUCUAUCUUAAAAGGGCUCAGAAAUUGAGGCAAAAAGAAGAGCUUCGCAAAGAAAAAGAGGCAGAGAGAAGGAAAGCUGCCCUUGAGAAGGCAACUGCCCGUAGAAUAAGCUUCCUUCAAGAUAUAAUCCCUUCAAAUCUCCUAAAGUGGUUGAACCAGAACCAGCAGAUUCGGACCAUGAUGAUUUAAUGAAAGUUAAAUCUGCUCCUAUGAAAAUUGCACGGAGCAGCAAUAAACGUGGACGAGGGAGUCAUGAUAAAGGACGGGGUAAAAAGCGAUCUAAAAGGGCUGCUGACAUCAGUAACAGUGCUGAAGAGGCUGAAUCUGAUGAUAAUGCUCAAGCAAUGGAAUCUGAUGACAAUGAUCAAGCAGUGGAAUAUGAUCAAGGAAACUGGGAGAUUUGUUUUAACGUUUCCCCCAUCAGAUGGAGUAGGCAUUUGAUUGAUAUGAGUGGUGGAGAUGUGGAAGCUUCUGAAGAUGACAAUGACAAUGGCAUUGAAGAGGAGGAUUCAAAGGCAGAUGUUAUGAGCGAGGGUUCAGAUGGUAUGGCUAGUAGAGUUGUAAAUGGAGCAGGCUCAGACUCGGCUGAUUCUGAAGAUUCUUCUGAUUAGAACAUUGGUUUUUAGUUGAUCAACUAAAGGAUUGCAUUUCAAAGCUGCAUUACAUUUUUGAUAUUGCAGCUUUACAAAGUACCUGAACUCCUAGUCAUGUCAUGGCUUGAAGAGUUUUAUGGUUGAGAAGACUUACAUAGUAUAUUUUAUCCAUGCAGAGUGGAUCCUUGUGUUUUUAAGCAUUUUAAAGCCGAGGGCCUCAUCUCAUUUUGUUUUUUUCCUUGUCAUAGGUAUUCAUUAAUUAAUAGAGUCUUAUACCUUAAUUAUUACUUCAUUGCGCACAAAGUCGAUUACUGAUAUAAUUGUCCAUUUGACUUUCCUUACUCUAUUUACAAUUUAACAAUUC
This is an RNA transcript of Gastrolobium bilobum, 2708 nucleotides long. It is a transcript of the gene named homeobox-DDT domain protein RLT1-like, with no coding region annotated. The transcript is spliced from 5 exons. Lineage: Eukaryota; Viridiplantae; Streptophyta; Magnoliopsida; Fabales; Fabaceae. The record is from RefSeq and is a predicted model, not a curated record.